Molecule: ribosomal RNA, 460 nt
Filed under: uncultured bacterium
Lineage: Bacteria
Description: partial 16S ribosomal RNA
Rfam family: Bacterial small subunit ribosomal RNA
Source: RNAcentral
CCUACGGGUGGCAGCAGUGAGGAAUAUUGGUCAAUGGACGAGAGUCUGAACCAGCCAAGUAGCGUGAAGGAUGACUGCCCUAUGGGUUGUAAACUUCUUUUAUAUGGGAAUAAAACGUUCCACGUGUGGGAUUUUGUAUGUACCAUAUGAAUAAGGAUCGGCUAACUCCGUGCCAGCAGCCGCGGUAAUACGGAGGAUCCGAGCGUUAUCCGGAUUUAUUGGGUUUAAAGGGAGCGUAGGUGGAUUGUUAAGUCAGUUGUGAAAGUUUGCGGCUCAACCGUAAAAUUGCAGUUGAAACUGGCAGUCUUGAGUACAGUAGAGGUGGGCGGAAUUCGUGGUGUAGCGGUGAAAUGCUUAGAUAUCACGAAGAACUGCGAUUGCGAAGGCAGUUCACUGGACUGCAACUGACACUGAGGCUCGAAAGUGUGGGUAUCAAACAGGAUUAGAUACCCCUGUAGUC